CUUUUCUGUUGGUCCUUCUAUACUCUAUACCUUUGGUCUUUUUUUUGCAUAUAGAUAUCCUGGCAAAUAUUCAUAUUCAAGUUACUUCAUUAGAUGAUAUAUUGCACAGAUGAGAUGAUGAAGUAUCAACAUGGAUUUUGCAAAUCUUAUGGUUGCCUUAUUCAUUUGCUUACUAAUACAAUUGAUUGUUUCACCUGGUCACUCAUCCUAGAUUCCUAAUGACAACACUGAUUGCCAUGUAUGAGAUAGGUCCUCAUGGCUUGAGUUGUCAUUAAUUGCAAGUAGACUCGACUAGGGGCUGGUUCAGAACCAGAACCGGCUUUGAACAAGUGAGAUUUUUUCUUUAAAAAAAAUUAAAAUGGAAAAAGUUCAACCGUUGGAUUUGAUUAAAACCAAAACUGGGGGACCCUGGGUUCCAGUUCCGGUCCUCCUAAACCUUGAACCUUAA
RNAcentral lists this unclassified non-coding RNA (448 nucleotides) under Hevea brasiliensis (rubber tree). The record is from RNAcentral. Lineage: Eukaryota; Viridiplantae; Streptophyta; Magnoliopsida; Malpighiales; Euphorbiaceae.